GACGAACGCUGGCGGCGUGCUUAACACAUGCAAGUCGAGCGGUAAGGCCUCUUCGUGGGUACACGAGCGGCGAACGGGUGAGUAACACUUGCGUGACCUUCCCUCAGCUCUGGGAUAAGCCUGAGAAACUGGGUCUAAUACCGGAUAUGACCUUUCCUCUCAUGGGGUUUGUUGGAAAGUUUUUUCGGCUGGGGAUGGGCCCGCAGCCUAUCAGCUUGUUGGUGGGGUGAUGUCCUACCAAGGCGACGACGGGUAGCCUGCCUGCUGAGACAACCGGCAACACUGGGAGGGAGGCAGGGAAGAGACUGCUACGGGAGGGAGCAGAGGGGAAUAUUGAGCAAUGGGCGGAAGGCUGACGGAGCGACGCAGCGUAAGGGAUGACGGAUUUGGAGUAAUAAAUCUCUUACGAACCCGACGAAUUUGGACGGUAGGGGUAGAAGAAGCACCGGCCAACUACGUG
This 460-nucleotide ribosomal RNA is filed under the name uncultured bacterium. RNAcentral's name for it is "partial 16S ribosomal RNA". It matches the Rfam family "Bacterial small subunit ribosomal RNA", at positions 28 to 507 of the family's 1533-position model. The record is from RNAcentral.